Molecule: ribosomal RNA, 420 nt
Filed under: bacterium
Lineage: Bacteria
Description: partial 16S ribosomal RNA
Rfam family: Bacterial small subunit ribosomal RNA
Source: RNAcentral
UGGGGGAUAUUGCACAAUGGGCGAAAGCCUGAUGCAGCGACGCCGCGUGGGGGAUGAAGGCUUUCGGGUUGUAAACCUCUUUCGCUAUCGAACAAGGCCCGCUUAGGGUGGGUUGAGGGUAGGUGGAGAAGAAGCGCCGGCUAACUACGUGCCAGCAGCCGCGGUAAUACGUAGGGCGCGAGCGUUGUCCGGAAUUAUUGGGCGUAAAGGGCUUGUAGGCGGCUUGUUGCGCCUGCUGUGAAAACGCGGGGCUUAACUUCGCGCGUGCAGUGGGUACGGGCAGGCUUGAGUGUGGUAGGGGUGACUGGAAUUCCAGGUGUAGCGGUGGAAUGCGCAGAUAUCUGGAGGAGCAGCGAUGGCGAAGGCAGGUCACUGGGCCAUUACUGACGCUGAGGAGCGAAAGCAUGGGUAGCGAACAGG